This 440-nucleotide ribosomal RNA is filed under the name uncultured bacterium. RNAcentral's name for it is "partial 16S ribosomal RNA". It matches the Rfam family "Bacterial small subunit ribosomal RNA", at positions 338 to 795 of the family's 1533-position model. The record is from RNAcentral.
CCUACGGGAGGCUGCAGUGGGGGAUAUUGCACAAUGGGGGAAACCCUGAUGCAGCGACGCCGCGUGGGUGAAGAAGCGCCUCGGCGCGUAAAGCCCUGUCAGCAGGGAAGAAAAUGACGGUACCUGAAGAAGAAGCCCCGGCUAACUACGUGCCAGCAGCCGCGGUAAUACGUAGGGGGCAAGCGUUAUCCGGAUUUACUGGGUGUAAAGGGGGCGCAGACGGCGAUGCAAGCCAGGCGUGAAAGCCCGGGGCCCAACCCCGGGACUGCUCUUGGAACUGCGUGGCUAGAGUGCAGGAGGGGCAGGCGGAAUGCCUGGUGUAGCGGUGAAAUGCGUAGAUAUCAGGAGGAACAGCGGUGGCGAAGGCGGCCUGCUGGACUGCAACUGACGUUGAGGCUCGAAAGCGUGGGGAGCAAACAGGAUUAGAUACCCGAGUAGUC